This 795-nucleotide ribosomal RNA is filed under the name uncultured bacterium. Its description in RNAcentral is "bacterial SSU rRNA". It matches the Rfam family "Bacterial small subunit ribosomal RNA", at positions 8 to 796 of the family's 1533-position model. The record is from RNAcentral.
AGAGUUUGAUCAUGGCUCAGAACGAACGCUGGCGGCAUUAACACAUGCAAGUCGCACGGGACUCCAGGGCUUGCUCUGGGGAAUAGUGGCGCACGGGUGAGUAACACGUAGGUAACGUUCCAUUUGGUCUGGAAUAACCUGCCGAAAGGCGGGCUAAUACCGGAUAAGUUUGCGUUGGAUUCGUCCGAUGCAAAGAAAGCAGGGCAACUUGCGCCGAUUGAUCGGCCUGCGUCCCAUCAGCUAGUUGGUGAGGUAACGGCUCACCAAGGCGACGACGGGUAGCUGGUCUGAGAGGAUGAUCAGCCACACUGGGACUGAGACACGGCCCAGACUCCUACGGGAGGCAGCAGUGGGGAAUAUUGGUCAAUGGGCGAAAGCCUGAACCAGCAAUGCCGCGUGAGUGAUGAAGGCCUUCGGGUUGUAAAGCUCUGUCGGGAGGGACGAAAAAACCUGGGUAACGCCAGGGCUUGACGGUACCUCCAAAGGAAGCACCGGCUAACUCUGUGCCAGCAGCCGCGGUAAUACAGAGGGUGCAAGCGUUGUUCGGAAUUACUGGGCGUAAAGCGCGUGUAGGCUGCAAUGUAAGUCGGAUGUGAAAGCCCUUGGCUUAACCAAGGAAGUGCAUCCGAUACUGCGUCGCUUGAGUGUCGGAGGGGGUGGCGGAAUUCCCGGUGUAGAGGUGAAAUUCGUAGAUAUCGGGAGGAACACCUGUGGCGAAGGCGGCCACCUGGACGACAACUGACGCUGAGACGCGAAAGCGUGGGUAGCAAACAGGAUUAGAUACCCUAGUAGUCC